This 215-nucleotide long non-coding RNA is filed under the name Hordeum vulgare. Its description in RNAcentral is "long non-coding RNA (HVUL_LNC014773)". Lineage: Eukaryota; Viridiplantae; Streptophyta; Magnoliopsida; Poales; Poaceae. The record is from RNAcentral.
AGCAAUCAAACAUUCACAUAGCUGAAAUGAAAAGGACAUUCUAUCUCACAGAAACACAAAGAUCGGAGCUGAAAUCUGCAAGCAAAAGGCACUACGUAUGACAACCUAAACUUGUUGACUAGCUAUACAAGCAAAAUCACAAAGAACACUACAUACAAACCUACAUCAACAAACGAUCCAGGGGCAUAUAACCUACAGCCACAAACAAAAACACU